This 253-nucleotide ribosomal RNA is filed under the name uncultured bacterium. RNAcentral describes it as "partial 16S ribosomal RNA". It matches the Rfam family "Bacterial small subunit ribosomal RNA", at positions 524 to 776 of the family's 1533-position model. The record is from RNAcentral.
UACGUAGGGUGCGAGCGUUAAUCGGAAUUACUGGGCGUAAAGUGUGCGCAGGCGGCACCGCAAGUCGAGUGUGAAAGCCCCGGGCUUAACUUGGGAAUUGCGCUCGAAACUAUGGUGCUGGAGUGUGGCAGAGGAAGGUGGAAUUCCAGGUGUAGCGGUGAAAUGCGUAGAGAUCUGGAGGAACACCGAUGGCGAAGGCAGCCUUCUGGGCCAACACUGACGCUCAUGCACGAAAGCGUGGGGAGCAAACAGG